GACGAACGCUGGCGGCGUGCUUAACACAUGCAAGUCGAACGGAAAGGCCCUGCUUUUGUGGGGUGCUCGAGUGGCGAACGGGUGAGUAACACGUGAGUAACCUGCCCUUGACUUUGGGAUAACUUCAGGAAACUGGGGCUAAUACCGGAUAGGAGCUCCUGCUGCAUGGUGGGGGAUGGAAAGUUUCGGCGGUUGGGGAUGGACUCGCGGCUUAUCAGCUUGUUGGUGGGGUAGUGGCUUACCAAGGCUGUGACGGGUAGCCGGCCUGAGAGGGUGACCGGCCACAUUGGGACUGAGGUACGGCCCAGACGCCUACGGGAGGCAGCGGUGGGGAAUAUUGCACAAUGGGCGGAAGCCAGAGGCAGCAACGCCGCGUGCGGGAUGACGGCCUUCGGGGUGUAAACCGCUUUCGCCUGAGACGAAGCGUGAGUGACGGUAAUGGGUAAAGAAGCACCGGCUAACUACGUG
Molecule: ribosomal RNA, 468 nt
Filed under: uncultured bacterium
Lineage: Bacteria
Description: partial 16S ribosomal RNA
Rfam family: Bacterial small subunit ribosomal RNA
Source: RNAcentral